GAAGGCCUUCGGGUUGUAAAGCACUUUUGUCCGGAAAGAAAACGCCGUGGUUAAUACCCGUGGCGGAUGACGGUACCGGAAGAAUAAGCACCGGCUAACUACGUGCCAGCAGCCGCGGUAAUACGUAGGGUGCAAGCGUUAAUCGGAAUUACUGGGCGUAAAGCGUGCGCAGGCGGUCCGCUAAGACAGAUGUGAAAUCCCCGGGCUUAACCUGGGAACUGCAUUUGUGACUGGCGGGCUAGAGUAUGGCAGAGGGGGGUAGAAUUCCACGUGUAGCAGUGAAAUGCGUAGAGAUGUGGAGGAAUACCGAUGGCGAAGGCAGCCCCCUGGGCCAAUACUGACGCUCAUGCACGAAAGCGUGGGGAGCAAACAGGAUUAGAUACCCUGGUAGUCCACGCCCUAAACGAUGUCAACUAGUUGUCGGGUCUUCAUUGACUUGGUAACGUAGCUAACGCGUGAAGUUGACCGCCUGGGGAGUACGGUCGCAAGAUUA
This 493-nucleotide ribosomal RNA is filed under the name uncultured Pseudomonadota bacterium. RNAcentral describes it as "bacterial SSU rRNA". It matches the Rfam family "Bacterial small subunit ribosomal RNA", at positions 410 to 896 of the family's 1533-position model. The record is from RNAcentral. Lineage: Bacteria; Pseudomonadati; Pseudomonadota.